Molecule: ribosomal RNA, 576 nt
Filed under: Hanseniaspora uvarum
Lineage: Eukaryota; Fungi; Ascomycota; Saccharomycetes; Saccharomycodales; Saccharomycodaceae
Description: eukaryotic LSU rRNA
Rfam family: Eukaryotic large subunit ribosomal RNA
Source: RNAcentral
CUUAGUACGGCGAGUGAAGCGGUAAAAGCUCAAAUUUGAAAUCUGGUACUUUCAGUGCCCGAGUUGUAAUUUGUAGAAUUUGUCUUUGAUUAGGUCCUUGUCUAUGUUCCUUGGAACAGGACGUCAUAGAGGGUGAGAAUCCCGUUUGGCGAGGAUACCUUUUCUCUGUAAGACUUUUUCGAAGAGUCGAGUUGUUUGGGAAUGCAGCUCAAAGUGGGUGGUAAAUUCCAUCUAAAGCUAAAUAUUGGCGAGAGACCGAUAGCGAACAAGUACAGUGAUGGAAAGAUGAAAAGAACUUUGAAAAGAGAGUGAAAAAGUACGUGAAAUUGUUGAAAGGGAAGGGCAUUUGAUCAGACAUGGUGUUUUUUGCAUGCACUCGCCUCUCGUGGGCUUGGGCCUCUCAAAAAUUUCACUGGGCCAACAUCAAUUCUGGCAGCAGGAUAAAUCAUUAAGAAUGUAGCUACUUCGGUAGUGUUAUAGCUUUUUGGAAUACUGUUAGCCGGGAUUGAGGACUGCGCUUCGGCAAGGAUGUUGGCAUAAUGGUUAAAUGCCGCCCGUCUUGAAACACGGACCAUU